CGCCUAACACAUGCAAGUCGAACGAAGUAGCAAUACUUAGUGGCAGACGGGUGAGUAACAUGUGGGUAUCUACCCUUUGGCCUGGAAUAACACGAGGAAACUUGUGCUAAUACCGGAUAAGUCCUAACGGAGAAAGUUUUAAUGCCAAAAGAUGAGCCCGCAUUUGAUUAGUUUGUUGGUAGGGUAAUGGCCUACCAAGACUAUGAUCAAUAGCUGAUUUGAGAGGAUGAUCAGCCACAUUGGGACUGAGACACGGCCCAAACUCC
This 266-nucleotide ribosomal RNA is filed under the name uncultured bacterium. Its description in RNAcentral is "partial 16S ribosomal RNA". It matches the Rfam family "Bacterial small subunit ribosomal RNA", at positions 45 to 339 of the family's 1533-position model. The record is from RNAcentral.